This 250-nucleotide ribosomal RNA is filed under the name uncultured bacterium. RNAcentral describes it as "partial 16S ribosomal RNA". It matches the Rfam family "Bacterial small subunit ribosomal RNA", at positions 524 to 773 of the family's 1533-position model. The record is from RNAcentral. RNAcentral also lists the same sequence under 1 other name.
CACGAACCGUACGAACGUUAUUCGGAAUUACUGGGCUUAAAGGGUUUGUAGGCGGCCUUGUAAGUCAGGUGUGAAAGCCCUCGGCUCAACCGAGGAACAGCGCUUGAUACUGCAAGGCUUGAGGGAGACAGGGGUAAGCGGAACUGAUGGUGGAGCGGUGAAAUGCGUUGAUAUCAUCAGGAACACCGGUGGCGAAAGCGGCUUACUGGGUCUCUUCUGACGCUGAGGAACGAAAGCUAGGGUAGCGAAC